AAUGAUGAAGGUCUUAGGAUUGUAAAAUUCUUUCAGCAGGGAAGAUAAUGACUGUACCUGCAGAAGAAGCCCCGGCUAACUUCGUGC
RNAcentral lists this ribosomal RNA (87 nucleotides) under uncultured bacterium. RNAcentral's name for it is "partial 16S ribosomal RNA". It matches the Rfam family "Bacterial small subunit ribosomal RNA", at positions 404 to 508 of the family's 1533-position model. The record is from RNAcentral.